This 71-nucleotide microRNA precursor is filed under the name Drosophila busckii. Lineage: Eukaryota; Metazoa; Arthropoda; Insecta; Diptera; Drosophilidae. The record is from RNAcentral.
GUCGGCGAACAUGGAUCUAGUGCACGGUUGGUAAUGAUUAAGUUCGUGACUAGAUUUCAUGCUCGUCUAUU